RNAcentral lists this ribosomal RNA (466 nucleotides) under uncultured bacterium. RNAcentral describes it as "partial 16S ribosomal RNA". It matches the Rfam family "Bacterial small subunit ribosomal RNA", at positions 28 to 505 of the family's 1533-position model. The record is from RNAcentral.
GACGAACGCUGGCGGCGUGCUUAACACAUGCAAGUCGAACGGAAAGGCCCUGCUUUUGUGGGGUGCUCGAGUGGCGAACGGGUGAGUAACACGUGAGUAACCUGCCCUUGACUUUGGGAUAACUUCAGGAAACUGGGGCUAAUACCGGAUAGGAGCUCCUGCUGCAUGGUGGGGGUUGGAAAGUUUCGGCGGUUGGGGAUGGACUCGCGGCUUAUCAGCUUGUUGGUGGGGUAGUGGCUUACCAAGGCUUUGACGGGUAGCCGGCCUGAGAGGGUGACCGGCCACAUUGGGACUGAGAUGCGGCCCAGACUCCUACGGGAGGCAGCAGUGGGAAAUAUUGCACAAUGGGCGGAAGCCUGAUGCAGCAACGCCGCGUGCGGGAUGACGGCCUUCGGGUUGUAAACCGCUUUCGCCUGUGACGAAGCGUGAGUGACGGUAAUGGGUAAAGAAGCACCGGCUAACUACG